UGGGGAAUAUUGCACAAUGGGCGCAAGCCUGAUGCAGCAACGCCGCGUGAACGAUGAAGGUCUUCGGAUCGUAAAGUUCUGUUGCAGGGGAAGAUAAUGACGGUACCAUAGGAGGAAGCCCCGGCUAACUACGUGCCAGCAGCCGCGGUAAUACGUAGGGGGCGAGCGUUGUCCGGAAUUACUGGGCGUAAAGGGUUCGCAGGCGGCAUGGCAAGUCCGAUGUAAAAGGCGAAGGCUCAACCUUCGUAAGCAUCGGAAACUGUCAAGCUUGAGUGAAGGAGAGGCAAGUGGAAUUCCUAGUGUAGCGGUGGAAUGCGUAGAUAUUAGGAGGAAUACCGGUGGCGAAGGCGACUUGCUGGACUUCAACUGACGCUGAGGAACGAAAGCGUGGGUAGCAAACAGG
RNAcentral lists this ribosomal RNA (403 nucleotides) under Verrucomicrobiota bacterium. RNAcentral describes it as "Verrucomicrobia bacterium partial 16S ribosomal RNA". It matches the Rfam family "Bacterial small subunit ribosomal RNA", at positions 355 to 776 of the family's 1533-position model. Lineage: Bacteria; Pseudomonadati; Verrucomicrobiota. The record is from RNAcentral.